GUUAAGCGACUAAGCGUACACGGUGGAUGCCCUGGCAGUCAGAGGCGAUGAAGGACGUGCUAAUCUGCGAAAAGCGUCGGUAAGGUGAUAUGAACCGUUAUAACCGGCGAUGUCCGAAUGGGGAAACCCAGUGCAAUUCGUUGCACUAUCGUUAACUGAAUACAUAGGUUAACGAGGCGAACCGGGGGAACUGAAACAUCUAAGUACCCCGAGGAAAAGAAAUCAACCGAGAUUCCCCCAGUAGCGGCGAGCGAACGGGGAGCAGCCCAGAGUCUGAAUCAGCUUGUGUGUUAGUGGAACGGUCUGGAAAGUCCGACGGUACAGGGUGAUAGUCCCGUACACCAAAAUGCACAGGUUGUGAACUCGAAGAGUAGGGCGGGACACGUGGUAUCCUGUCUGAAUAUGGGGGGACCAUCCUCCAAGGCUAAAUACUCCUGACUGACCGAUAGUGAACCAGUACCGUGAGGGAAAGGCGAAAAGAACCCCGGCGAGGGGAGUGAAAAAGAACCUGAAACCGUGUACGUACAAGCAGUGGGAGCACCUUCGGGUGUGACUGCGUACCUUUUGUAUAAUGGGUCAGCGACUUAUAUUCUGUAGCAAGGUUAACCGUAUAGGGGAGCCGCAGGGAAACCGAGUCUUAACUGGGCGUUAAGUUGCAGGGUAUAGACCCGAAACCCGGUGAUCUAGCCAUGGGCAGGUUGAAGGUUGGGUAACACUAACUGGAGGACCGAACCGACUAAUGUUGAAAAAUUAGCGGAUGACUUGUGGCUGGGGGUGAAAGGCCAAUCAAACCGGGAGAUAGCUGGUUCUCCCCGAAAGCUAUUUAGGUAGCGCCUCGUGAAUUCAUCUUCGGGGGUAGAGCACUGUUUCGGCUAGG
This 877-nucleotide ribosomal RNA is filed under the name Klebsiella pneumoniae. RNAcentral describes it as "partial 23S ribosomal RNA". It matches the Rfam family "Bacterial large subunit ribosomal RNA", at positions 1 to 923 of the family's 2925-position model. Lineage: Bacteria; Pseudomonadati; Pseudomonadota; Gammaproteobacteria; Enterobacterales; Enterobacteriaceae. The record is from RNAcentral.